GCUCGAGUGGCGAACGGGUGAGUAACACGUGAGUAACCUGCCCUUGACUUUGGGAUAACUUCAGGAAACUGGGGCUAAUACCGGAUAGGAGCUCCUGCUGCAUGGUGGGGGUUGGAAAGUUUCGGCGGUUGGGGAUGGACUCGCGGCUUAUCAGCUUGUUGGUGGGGUAGUGGCUUACCAAGGCUUUGACGGGUAGCCGGCCUGAGAGGGUGACCGGCCACAUUGGGACUGAGAUACGGCCCAGACUCCUACGGGAGGCAGCAGUGGGGAAUAUUGCACAAUGGGCGGAAGCCUGAUGCAGCAACGCCGCGUGCGGGAUGACGGCCUUCGGGUUGUAAACCGCUUUCGCCUGUGACGAAGCGUGAGUGACGGUAAUGGGUAAAGAAGCACCGGCUAACUACGUGCCAGCAGCCGCGGUGAUACGUAGGGUGCGAGCGUUGUCCGGAUUUAUUGGGCGUAAAGGGCUCGUAGGUGGUUGAUCGCGUCGGAAGUGUAAUCUUGGGGCUUAACCCUGAGCGUGCUUUCGAUACGGGUUGACUUGAGGAAGGUAGGGGAGAAUGGAAUUCCUGGUGGAGCGGUGGAAUGCGCAGAUAUCAGGAGGAACACCAGUGGCGAAGGCGGUUCUCUGGGCCUUUCCUGACGCUGAGGAGCGAAAGCGUGGGGAGCGAACAGGCUAGAUACCCUGGUAGUCCACGCUGUAAACGGUGGGUACUAGGUGUGGGGUCCAUUCCACGGGUUCCGUGCCGUAGCUAACGCUUUAAGUACCCCGCCUGGGGAGUACGGCCGCAAGGCUAAAACUCAAAGGAAUUGACGGGGCCCCGCACAAGCGGCGGAGCAUGCGGAUUAAUUCGAUGCAACGCGUAGAACCUUACCUGGGUUUGACAUGGAUCGGGAGUGCUCAGAGAUGGGUGUGCCUCUUUUGGGGUCGGUUCACAGGUGGUGCAUGGCUGUCGUCAGCUCGUGUCGUGAGAUGUUGGGUUAAGUCCCGCAACGAGCGCAACCCUUGUUCACUGUUGCCAGCACGUUAUGGUGGGGACUCAGUGGAGACCGCCGGGGUCAACUCGGAGGAAGGUGGGGAUGACGUCAAGUCAUCAUGCCCCUUAUGUCCAGGGCUUCACGCAUGCUACAAUGGCUGGUACAGAGAGUGGCGAGCCUGUGAGGGUGAGCGAAUCUCGGAAAGCCGGUCUCAGUUCGGAUUGGGGUCUGCAACUCG
RNAcentral lists this ribosomal RNA (1213 nucleotides) under Cutibacterium acnes subsp. acnes. Its description in RNAcentral is "bacterial SSU rRNA". It matches the Rfam family "Bacterial small subunit ribosomal RNA", at positions 89 to 1314 of the family's 1533-position model. The record is from RNAcentral. Lineage: Bacteria; Bacillati; Actinomycetota; Actinomycetes; Propionibacteriales; Propionibacteriaceae.